UUUACACGUGAGAUGAAGGAGAAGAAAAGAUGAAAGAAAAGCUUCGCUUUCAAUUAACAACGUAAGAGAGAAUACUUUGUUACGUAAUUUCUUUGCUGUGCUAUCGUUUCACGGAUCUUCCUUUUAUGCCGCGAUCGAGAGAAACAUGCUAAAGUUGCUCGACACGAUCAACAACCGCGCGAAUUUCGAUGAAAAUUUCGAUAAAAAGAAGAACGUUUUGCCAUGGCGCGUGUAUCGCGUUGUAAACGAAUAUUUUUCCACUUUCUAGACCGAGUUAAGCGAUAAUUCUCGUCGACUCCUGGAGAUCCCAGCUGAGCACGUACAUUACUACGUUCUCGUCUGUCUCUGCAAGAUGUUGGGGCAAUGCCCUAUCAAGGUUGUGAAUGUUCCGCGUACAUCAAAGAACUUCCUUAACUCGCUAAUGUUAUUUUUUUCUUCGUCGUUUUUCCUCUCAUCAAUAGCCUCACUCGAUGAGUUUUUCCUACUAUAUUAACGGUAAUAGUACGUAAAUUUAAUAUGCAACGAUUUCUUUUUAAAAAACAAAGUCUAUUUUUAUAAUUUCCCAUCUACUUUAUCAUGUAUCUCAUUUUCUACGAAUUCUACGAAAUGAUCUUGAAUAGACUGGAUAUAUAUAUAUUUUUUUUUCUGAAAAAAUAUAAUUACUCGAAAUUUCUUUUAAAAUCGCAAUUUUAAAUUUCCAGAAUAAAUACAAGCGAGCAGGAGGUCGAACGAGGCUCACCAAACAGAAUAAAAUUCAUCGUUCAAGUGGAUUUGCAUAACUUAUCGAUGACCGAUGCGCGCCGAUGAAAGUGGCGGAAGUCGUGAAUGCGAAGACUUUUUCGAAUUUUUCCCAGCAGGAAAACGCGUUCUUCGAUUCGAUUCCACGAAAUCAGCCGAUAAAUGUCAUCAAAGUUCGCCGAUUCGUGUCACGAUUUGUCCUCGAUCGGUAUGCAAGUUUUGAAGAUCAGACUCGAUUCUCGACAUUGAAACGAAUCACGAUUUUAUUUUCCCGGCUUUCAUCCCAUGAUUUUUAAUGUAUUCGAAAAAUUAAGUUGAGAAACAUAUUUUAUCAUUAUAUAGAAACAAUAUUAUUUUUCUGUCUAUAAUAUACGUCUAUCUAAUACGAAACAGAUGGUGUGAAAUCGUAAGUUCUUUAAUCAAUGAAUCUUUUGUUAUUUCAAAUUAGUUUUAACGAUUCUGAGAAAUAAUUAAAUAUAAAAAAAAUAUAGAAUAUUUUUGCACAGAAAUUCCAACGAAUUCUGUGACUGGAAUUAUUAGAAUCGCUUCACGACAUUGCGUUCAAGGCAACCUCCAAAACGCUGGCAACUGGCCAUUCGAAAAGUUGGCUUAAUUGCCAACGGUCAUUAAUUCGAGUAGCAACUCGAAAUCGUGUGAAGGAUUUUUCUGCAACGUCCACCACAUGGGUCGCGUGACAGUUGUUUCGUAAAUGCUAGGUGCCUGCAUCGCGCGGAUGACGUUCAAGCCGGCCAUUUUAUGCAGACGACAUGCGUCAAACGUCAACAAGAUGGCUCACGCUGGUGGAACGUCCCUCAUCAAUAUCCAUAAGUCAAAGGACAUCCGUCUUCGCGUACACACGCGGAAUAAUUUACAAGGAUCCGUGAUAACCGAGUGGAGGGAUCGUUGGUGGGGAACGUGCGUGAGAUAAUAAUGCAAGGGAACGAGGUGACGCCGUUUCCUUUCGACGAUCCCGGUGAUAAGCGGCGACGAAAGUUGUUUUAUUAAUGAAUAUACGCAAUAAAUACUACGCUUUUCUGCGUAGAAAUGGAAGAGAACGAGGCGAGAAUUGGACGAAGAAGGAAUUCGAUAAUUCUGUCUUGGGAGAAACGACCCGGGAAGAAGAAACUUGGUACAGUUAGAGAGAGUCGUUAGAUUGCGAGCGAUCACGCGAUACGAAGAUGGCUGGAAAUGAGCGACGCGAAGUGAAACGAUUAUUGGAUAGGAGUGAGUGAUGCGCUGUGAAAAUGCACCUCGGGCUGGAGAUGAUCGCAGAGAGAAAUGUUGCAAAUUGGAGACGAUUAAAGCGAAAACAUUACGAGCUGGAGAUGAUUAGAGCGAAACAAUAAUUGGAGAAGAAUAACGGGGGAUUGGAGCAGAAAAAUAAGAAUUAGAAUCAGAGCGGUGAAGAUUGGUGAAUAUUAAGACGAGAUAGGAACGCGGAUUGGAACAGAAAAAUUAACUCCAAACGAGAUAUAAUGAAUCAAUAUACGGAAUGGAGGGGGUAUUGGAAUAAAAGAAGAGAGGUUAGAGAGACGAAAUGGAACGAAAGAUUAUAAAUUGAAGAAGAUUAUGAUCAAACAAUGUGAGCAGAAAAAAUAUCUAAAGAUAGGGUGAAGCAUAGCAAUAAAUUGGAGAAUCAACAUUGAAACAAAAUCAAUGAAAUUAAAGUGAAAGAAUGUGAUUUAUAUCGAGAUUGAAGAAGGUUACAAUUCCAAGAAUGAUCGAAAAAAAAUGAUAAAAUGCGGAUUUAAAUGAGAAUUUGAAAUUAGAUAUAAAUUGAAGAAAAUUGAAAUUAAACAACAACAAGGGUUAUUUUAAAGAGUAAGAAGAAUCAGUAUUUGUAGUUAAUUUUUAAAGAAAAUUUAAUAUUCCUCUUCUAAAGCAUUUUUUUCUGAUUACAUCACUCUUAUGUCACGCACAACCUUCAAAUUUUUUACUCUUUUUUACUCUACGACAAGUUUGGAUUACAAAAUAAAUAUCACAAGGAACAGUUAAUCGAACUCUUUUAAUUUAAUUUAUGAUUAUUUCAUUUAUGAUUGUUAGUUUUAUAAGCGGUAAAAUAUGAUUGGAUCGCAAUGAAGAAUGAAAUUAAUAAAUCUUACCUCCAUCGUGAAAAUGAAUCUUUAUCAAUUUAAAUAAUUAAUUUCUUGUAUAAUUUUUCAGGAAAUGAAAGAUGAUUGUAUUUCUUUAUUAUACUCUUAAUAAGUAAAAAGUAAAAAAACGCUUAACAUACGUUCCUUUUUCCCGAUACCGAGAUUCUUUCAAUUUAAAUUCAUGACUGGCGUCUUUGUAAAAUUUCUAGUAUAAGCAGACAUCAUGUAUACCUCAUCCAACAUCCAUUAAUGACGUUUUUACUUCCGUUGAAGGCAAAGAGACAUUAGCAUCCGUUUUAACAAAAUAUUUAAAGACUCAAUAAUCAUUCAUCACGCAAUAAAAAAUUUAUCAUAUGAGGUAUCAAAAUUAAAUUAUGUAAUUACAUUACAUUUAACGCGCAUACCGACUUUAGAAUAAUAAAUUACUUUGAAUAAAAAUAUUGGAAGAGGAAUAAUAAUUGAAAGAGCAAUAUGAUAAUAUCUUUAAAAUAAUACCUUAUUGAUUUUUAUUGAGAUAUUAAUAAUAAAAAUCAAUAAAAAUCAAUAUAUUAUUUUUGUCAAAAGAUCUUGCAUAUUUUUACGUUAAUUACGUUUGUAAUUUUAAAAGAAUAAAAAAUUUAUUUUAGUAUACUAAAA
Apis cerana (Asiatic honeybee) is the source of this 3467-nucleotide long non-coding RNA. RefSeq lists it as uncharacterized. NCBI's taxonomy places the organism in Eukaryota, Metazoa, Arthropoda, Insecta, Hymenoptera, Apidae. The record is from RefSeq and is a predicted model, not a curated record.